UUUUCAUAAAACAAUAUAGCUUCUUCUUAGGUAUUUUUUUGCCUCCUUGUCACCUUUUCACUGUGCCCUUAGGAGGGAUAAAAAGUCGGCGAAAUCAAUGCAUCGCCACGUCCUUCAAGAACAAUUUCAAUGACCAGGUGAGUACCUAUAUUUCAGAUGAGAAUUGGCAUCCUCAUCAUCAUAUCGAUUAUGCUAAUUUAUGGGUUUAUCAAUCCCAAUGGCAAAUUGCCCACUUCAAAGCCAUGGCCAUGUAUCUUUAGGUGCUUUUCAGAAUUAAAAAGGGAGAAUUUCCCAACACAUUCUCAAACUUCGAUCAAGAUUCCUAAUUUACGAGGUAUCUCUUCCUUAGUUCAGAAAUGGAGAUCUUUUGAGGUCGAGGCCAAGUGCUUUCAGAGUAAUUUGCCUUUCUGUUGCACUAGAAGCAAUUCGAGCAUGACUUUGGCAGAGAAUGUUUCUAAUGUUGGUGAAGUUGAGUUUGACUUCGUUAGGAAUUGGGCAAAAUGACAAUGCUGACAAGAAU
This 520-nucleotide long non-coding RNA is filed under the name Olea europaea subsp. europaea. Lineage: Eukaryota; Viridiplantae; Streptophyta; Magnoliopsida; Lamiales; Oleaceae. The record is from RNAcentral.